Molecule: ribosomal RNA, 489 nt
Filed under: uncultured bacterium
Lineage: Bacteria
Description: bacterial SSU rRNA
Rfam family: Bacterial small subunit ribosomal RNA
Source: RNAcentral
GAUGAACGCUAGCGGGAGGCUUAACACAUGCAAGUCGAGGGGCAUCACGAGGUAGCAAUACUUUGGUGGCGACCGGCGUACGGGUGCGUAACACGUAUGCAACCUUCCUGUAAGUGUGGGAUAGCCUCCUGAAAGGGAGAUUAAUACCUCAUGAUAUGUAUUUGCUGCAUGGCAUUUACAUUAAACAUUUAUGGCUUACAGAUGGGCAUGCGUUCCAUUAGGCAGUUGGUGUGGUAACGGCUCACCAAACCUACGAUGGAUAGGGGUUCUGAGAGGAAGGUCCCCCACACUGGAACUGAGACACGGUCCAGACUCCUACGGGAGGCAGCAGUGAGGAAUAUUGGUCAAUGGGCGCGAGCCUGAACCAGCCACGUCGCGUGAAGGAUGACGGCCUUAUGGGUUGUAAACUUCUUUUACUAGGGGAAUAAAGUGAGUCACGUGUGAUUUUUGUCAUGUACCCUGUGAAUAAGCAUCGGCUAACUCCGUGCC